UACAGAGGUCCCAAGCGUAACUGAGAUUCACUGGGUUUAAAGGGUGCGUCGGUGGCGCGUUAAGUCAGUUGUGAAAUCCCCGGGCUCAACCCGGGAAAUGCUUCUGAUACUGGCGUGCUUGAGGCCGGUAUAGGUUACUGGAACGGACGGUGGAGCGGUGAAAUGCGUAGAUAUCGUCUGGAACGCCAGUGGUGAAGACGGGUAACUGGGCCGGUUCUUACACUGAGGCACGAAAGCGUGGGUAGCGAACGGG
RNAcentral lists this ribosomal RNA (253 nucleotides) under uncultured bacterium. RNAcentral's name for it is "partial 16S ribosomal RNA". It matches the Rfam family "Bacterial small subunit ribosomal RNA", at positions 524 to 776 of the family's 1533-position model. The record is from RNAcentral.